This 1414-nucleotide long non-coding RNA is filed under the name Homo sapiens (human). RNAcentral describes it as "HSALNT0343377". Lineage: Eukaryota; Metazoa; Chordata; Mammalia; Primates; Hominidae. The record is from RNAcentral.
CAGAGACCCGCCCCGGCCCGCAGGACACCCCCUCGGAACGCGCGGCCCCCGGCUAAGUCAUGUUUAACAGCCUCAGAAAUUAUCUUGUCUCCGCGUUCUUUCUUCUGCCGGCGAGCCAGUGUCAUUUGUGGAUUAUUAAAGAAACCUCUCCAUACCUGAUGCAUAAAGAUAGUUAAGGUUUUAGGCACUGGUGAUAGAGCAGUGAACAAAGCAGUUUCUGCCCUCAUGGAGCUUACAUCCUAAUGAGAGAGCCUGAUAACAAGCAAGUAAGUAAAUUCAUAGUAUUUCAGAUAUUCAGUGACAGAUGCUGUGGAGAACAGUAAAACAGGGGCAGUGAGAUAGCAUGUUCUGAAAGGGGAUAUUUUGUGUACAGGGGUUAGGCAAGACCGUUCUGAUGAGGUGAACUGAAGGGAGUAGUCUUACAGAAAUCUAAGAGAAAAAUAGGAAGUGUGAAAGUUUUGAAGCAGAAGCAUGUGGGGUGCUGGGCAGCUUAGAGGCUUGCACUGGUUUUCUACAGCUGCUGUAACAAAUUACCAUAAACUUAGUGGCCUAAAACACAAAAAUUCCAUUUCUCACAGUUCUUUAGUUCAGAAGUAUCCAAAAUCAGUCUCACUGACUAAAAUCAAGAGAUCACCAGGACUGCAUUCUUUGCAGAUCCUGGGUGAGAAUUCGUUUCCUUGCCCUUUUCUAGCUUCUAGAAGCAGCUGUCUGCCUUCCUCCCUCUGUAAAGGCAGCAAUGAUGGGUGGAGUUGUUCUCUGAUUUGCAUAAAUCCGAUCUACUCUUCACCUUCUUAUUUCUGCUUAUAAGAACCCUUCUGAUUGCAUUGGUCCCACUUGAAUCCAGUAUAAUCUCCCCAUCUCAAGAUCAGCUAAUUAGUAACUUCUAUUCCAUCUGAGUUCUGGGUAUUAGGAUCUGGACAUCUGUGGGGAACUAUUAUUCUGCCUAGCACAGGGUUGAAGCAGACUAAAGGAAGGGAAGAAUGAGUUCAGGGACUGGGCUGAGUGGGAGGCAGGUCAUGUAGGGCCUUGUAAACAAUGUGGACAGGGAGAUAGGAAGUCUUAAGGAGGAUUGAUUCACCUUGGUUGCUGUGUGGCUAGUAGACUCAAUGGCAAACAAGAGUGGAAGCAGGAGAGCAGUUAAUAUGCCACUGCAGAAUUCCAAGACAAAGAUGAUGGUGGUUUAGACCAGUGAAGGUGGUGAGGUGCGGUCAGAUCCGGGAUGUUGUUUGGAGCUAGAGUGAGGGAUAUCUGCUAAGGUGUUGGACGUAGGGUAUAAGAGAAUGUGAGGAUUCACGAAUGACUGCAAGGAUUUCAGCCCAGUAACUGGAAGAGUAUACUUUCUAUUUUGAGAUGGGGAUGGCUUUAGAAGAAGCAGGAUAUAGGAGGUGGAAAUUGGGAGUUUGCUUUUGGACAC